This 400-nucleotide unclassified non-coding RNA is filed under the name soil metagenome. RNAcentral describes it as "partial contains 5.8S ribosomal RNA, internal transcribed spacer 2, and large subunit ribosomal RNA". The stretch from base 1 to 120 matches the Rfam family "5.8S ribosomal RNA", at positions 35 to 154 of the family's 154-position model. The record is from RNAcentral.
GAUGAAGAACGGAGCGAAAUGCGAUACUUGGUGUGAAUUGCAGAAUCCCGUGAACCAUCGAGUCUUUGAACGCAAGUUGCGCCCGAAGCCUCGGCUAAGGGCACGUCUGCCUGGGCGUCACGCAUCGCGUCUCCCCCAAACCGCCAAGGCGGAGGGGAAGGAAGAUGGCUUCCCGUGCCUCACCCGGGCGCGGUUGGCCUAAAUUUGGAGCCCGCGGCACUUAGCUCUCGCGGCGAUAGGUGGUGAACAAGGCCUUGGCCGUGCAAACAACCCGCUGCGAAGCUCUAUGUCACGUGCGCUCGUCGGACCCUUUGAAGUUGCCUUCGGUGACUUAAAACCUUUGCGACCCCAGGUCAGGCGGGGCUACCCGCUGAAUUUAAGCAUAUCAAUAAGCGGAGGA